Molecule: non-coding RNA, 26 nt
Organism: Octopus bimaculoides (California two-spot octopus)
Lineage: Eukaryota; Metazoa; Mollusca; Cephalopoda; Octopoda; Octopodidae
Source: Rfam
CAAACGGCCCUUUUAAGGGCCACUUC